Molecule: long non-coding RNA, 495 nt
Filed under: Homo sapiens (human)
Lineage: Eukaryota; Metazoa; Chordata; Mammalia; Primates; Hominidae
Description: non-protein coding lnc-FOXD4L4-4:3
Source: RNAcentral
UCUCAUCAUUUCAUCUCAAGUCAUCAUUUCAUCUAAGUGAAAUGAUGUAAUGGAAUCAUGAAAUGAAAUGGAUAGGAUGCCCUCAGUGAUGUUAAAUUUAAAAAUUGUUUCUUUUCAUGUAUGCAUUUUUAUAUUUAUAUUUACUUAUAGUUAUUACUUUUUAUUUAUAUUUUUACUUAUUUCUUUAUUCCCAGGUAGCUGGGACCCCAGGUGCGCACCACCACACCUGGUUAAUAUUUUAUUAUUUGCAGAGAUGGAGUCUUGCUAUUCUGCCCAGGCUGGUCUCAAACUCCUGGGCUCAAGCAAUCAGACAAGGUCUCACUAUGUUGCCCAGGCUGGUCAACUCCUGGACUCAAAUGAUUCUCCAAACUUGGCCUCUCAAAAUGUUGGGAUUACAGGUAUGAGCCACCAUGCUUGGCCUAAAAAUAGUAUCAGAGGAGGGCAGGGCAAUGCAGGACUGGGCCAUGGCAGUGCCUGGUCAACUCCGGGGCAGGG